This 482-nucleotide ribosomal RNA is filed under the name uncultured bacterium. RNAcentral describes it as "partial 16S ribosomal RNA". It matches the Rfam family "Bacterial small subunit ribosomal RNA", at positions 30 to 507 of the family's 1533-position model. The record is from RNAcentral.
AUUGAACGCUGGCGGCAUGCCUUACACAUACAAGUCGAACGGUAACGGGCCUUCGGGUGCCGACGAGUGGCGAACGGGUGAGUAAUACAUCGGAACGUGCCCGAUCGUGGGGGAUAACGAGGCGAAAGCUUUGCUAAUACCGCAUUCGAACCACGGAUGAAAGCAGGGGACCGCAAGGCCUUGCGCGGACGGAGUUGCCGAUGGCAGAUUAGGUCGUUGGUGGGAUAAAGGCUUACCAAGCCGACGAUCUGUAGCUGAUCUGAGAGGAUGAACAGCCACACUGGGACGGAGACACGGCCCAGACUCCUACGGGAGGCAGCGGUGGGGAAUUUUGGACAAUGGGAGGAAGCCUGAUCCAGCCAUGCCGCGUGCAGGAUGAAGGCCUUCGGGUUGUAAACUGCUUUUGUACGGAACGAAAAGCAUUCUUUUAAUACAGGAGGGUCAUGACGGUACCGUAAGAAUAAGCACCGGCUAACUACGUG